Molecule: non-coding RNA, 1436 nt
Organism: Odocoileus virginianus texanus
Lineage: Eukaryota; Metazoa; Chordata; Mammalia; Artiodactyla; Cervidae
Source: RefSeq, a predicted model, not a curated record
UCUCCCCAUCGCCUGAUUCCUGUGCUAUGCAGAUCAGGGGCUGAGGAGGGGUGGAUGGGUAAUCCAGUGGGGUCACCCUGGCAGCCAGAGACCCAGCCCCUUGACCUUCUAUUGGGGGUCCAGUUCCCUCUAUUCUGACAUUCUCCCACAUACAAACCUGUCUUGCCCUUCCAUUGGAGCUGAAGGGACCUAGAUGUCAGAUGCAGGGGGAGGGGGGAGCCUCGAGACCCCCUAGGGAGUCACUGAUGUCUUCCAUCCCAGACCUGAGCCUCCCUCAGGCAGUUAAUUCAACCCACACUACAUUUCCAGUCUGCAUGGUUUUCCUUGUGUAGGCUCCCCAGGAUGGGGACAGACAAAUACCCUAGGAAAGACUUCUAUCUGUCCUUUUCUCUCUGCGCCCCACCUCACUCCCAGACCCCUGGUUCUAAGCAGACCCUCAGAGAUGGGGAUGUGGUUGUACUGUCCCUUUAACCAGGUUUUACUGGGAGGAGAGUGUGCUGGGGAGGAGGAGGGAGGGGGAAGGGAGUUUCUGGUUUUUCAUGGAGAAGCAGAACAUGAUGAAGCAUUUUUCCCCUGUUUAAAGAUCCAGCCAUGCUCCAGUUUGCAGGGGGCAGAAGGGCAGAUGUGCAGUUGGUGCUGAGAGGAUGGAGAAUUUAAGCUUCAUAAAAUCAAGGACUUUUGCCUUUCUUAUUCAGUGGUGCUUUCCUCAGCUCUUGGAACAGUGGUUGGCAUACAGCAGAGCUUAACAAAUAGUCGAAUGGCUCAGCACGUCCUCUUUGAGAAGUUGUUCCCUUUGUGAGCAAUUACAGAUGAACGAUUCUCCGGCUGUGGUUCCUGAGUCUGAGUGAGACGGUUCAUUGGUCUUUCCUAAGGGACCAGUUCGAGCAGUUGGGUGAGGCUUGUGGAUUCACACAUGCUCUAGGACUGUUAUAUUCUUGUUCCCAGCGCAAGAGGCUAAGCAACAAGAGGACUCAAGGCUCUGCUAAGAAGAGGAAGAGGUAAAUGCAGCAUCACUAGGCAUUAAAAGAGGCCCCAGCAAACGGGCUCAGAGGAUGUGAAGCUUGCUUCGCUGAGGGGCAGCUGCAUCACAGCCCCCUCCCUCUAAGGUCAGGCUGCGUGAGGACACACAGGGCCUGGAAGCAGCCUGGCACCACCCAGAAACAAACGCCAGCAGAGGGGAGACAUGCCAGGAAAGUUUCUGAAACCUCUUCCUCGGCCCUGAGCCAGGCGCCUGCCCUGGACAAAAGACUGUGGGAGCCCAGAGCAGACCUGGGACAGGGACUCGGUCACACAUGCGGGUGAAAAACUCUGCUGGGCACCUGAACUGCCUUCUGGCUUCCAGAGGGGUUAGCGGUGAAGGAAGGAGGCAGAACUGACCUUGAGGUCUUUAUGGUCUUGGAUACUUUUCAUUAAAAUUUUUAAGAAUUGUGCCUCAA